Molecule: non-coding RNA, 420 nt
Filed under: Megaselia scalaris
Lineage: Eukaryota; Metazoa; Arthropoda; Insecta; Diptera; Phoridae
Description: Eukaryotic large subunit ribosomal RNA
Rfam family: Eukaryotic large subunit ribosomal RNA
Source: Rfam by way of RNAcentral
AAAUUUUAUUGCCAUUUGCCCGAAAUUUCAAGAAUAUCGAAAAUGUUACUUUGGUAAACAUAAAUUAGAACACGUAUACUUUUUAAAGGUUUUAAAUGGAGAAAAUUAUUUAAAUUAGGCAAAACUUUAUUCUUAUGUCAAAACUUAGAAAAGUAUUACUAGAUAAUUAAAAAAAAAUAUGAAUAUAAUCGGGGAUGGGUAAUGUCUGUAAUUUACAAGCGUAAUUUACUCGUAAACGACGUAUAUUAUAUGUAAAUUACGCUUAAGUUGUAUACCUAUACAUGAUUAGGAGGGUACAAUGGUGUGCGUUGAAGUCUUUGGCGUGAGCCUGCAUGGAGUCGCCAUUGGCACAGAUCUUUGUGGUAGUAGCAAAUAAUGGAAUGAGACCUUGGAGGACUGAAGUGGAGAAGGGUUUCGUGU